CGUCAGUGUUCAAUUGUUGAUAUGUGCCUGAACUUAUAUCAGCAGUUGUACCACUGAUGUU
RNAcentral lists this microRNA precursor (61 nucleotides) under Lingula anatina. Its description in RNAcentral is "Lan-Mir-1992_pre stem-loop". The record is from RNAcentral. Lineage: Eukaryota; Metazoa; Brachiopoda; Lingulata; Lingulida; Lingulidae.